This 724-nucleotide ribosomal RNA is filed under the name uncultured bacterium. RNAcentral describes it as "bacterial SSU rRNA". It matches the Rfam family "Bacterial small subunit ribosomal RNA", at positions 772 to 1507 of the family's 1533-position model. The record is from RNAcentral.
ACAGGAUUAGAUACCCUGGUAGUCCACGCCCGUAAACGAUGAUCACUCGCUGUUGGCGAUACACAGUCAGCGGCUAAGCAAAAGCAUUAAGUGAUCCACCUGGGGAGUACGGCCGCAAGGCUGAAACUCAAAGGAAUUGACGGGGGCCCGCACAAGCGGAGGAACAUGUGGUUUAAUUCGAUGAUACGCGAGGAACCUUACCUGGGCUUAAAUGUAGAGUGCAUGAAGUGGAAACAUUUCUUUCCUUCGGGACUCUUUGCAAGGUGCUGCAUGGUUGUCGUCAGCUCGUGCCGUGAGGUGUCGGGUUAAGUCCCAUAACGAGCGCAACCCUUAUCGUUAGUUGCCAGCGGGUAAUGCCGGGAACUCUAACGAAACUGCCGGUGUAAACCGUGAGGAAGGUGGGGAUGACGUCAAAUCAGCACGGCCCUUAUGUCCAGGGCUACACACGUGUUACAAUGGCCGGUACAGAGGGCAGCUACCUGGAGACAGGAUGCGAAUCUCAAAAGCCGGUCUCAGUUCGGAUCGGAGUCUGCAACUCGACUCCGUGAAGCUGGAUUCGCUAGUAAUCGCGCAUCAGCCAUGGCGCGGUGAAUACGUUCCCGGGCCUUGUACACACCGCCCGUCAAGCCAUGGAAGUUGGGGGUACCUGAAGUCCGUAACCGUAAGGAGCGGCCUAGGGUAAAACUAGUGACUGGGGCUAAGUCGUAACAAGGUAACCAAGGGC